RNAcentral lists this ribosomal RNA (523 nucleotides) under Citrobacter freundii. Its description in RNAcentral is "partial 23S ribosomal RNA". It matches the Rfam family "Bacterial large subunit ribosomal RNA", at positions 911 to 1431 of the family's 2925-position model. Lineage: Bacteria; Pseudomonadati; Pseudomonadota; Gammaproteobacteria; Enterobacterales; Enterobacteriaceae. The record is from RNAcentral.
UGUUUCGGCUAGGGGGUCAUCCCGACUUACCAACCCGAUGCAAACUGCGAAUACCGAAGAAUGUUAUCACGGGAGACACACGGCGGGUGCUAACGUCCGUCGUGAAGAGGGAAACAACCCAGACCGCCAGCUAAGGUCCCAAAGUCAUGGUUAAGUGGGAAACGAUGUGGGAAGGCACAGACAGCCAGGAUGUUGGCUUAGAAGCAGCCAUCAUUUAAAGAAAGCGUAAUAGCUCACUGGUCGAGUCGGCCUGCGCGGAAGAUGUAACGGGGCUAAACCAUGCACCGAAGCUGCGGCAGCGACACUAUGUGUUGUUGGGUAGGGGAGCGUUCUGUAAGCCGUUGAAGGUGUAUCGUGAGGUAUGCUGGAGGUAUCAGAAGUGCGAAUGCUGACAUAAGUAACGAUAAUGCGGGUGAAAAACCCGCACGCCGGAAGACCAAGGGUUCCUGUCCAACGUUAAUCGGGGCAGGGUGAGUCGACCCCUAAGGCGAGGCCGAAAGGCGUAGUCGAUGGGAAACAGGUU